RNAcentral lists this ribosomal RNA (549 nucleotides) under Penicillium sp. SGE2. Its description in RNAcentral is "eukaryotic LSU rRNA". The stretch from base 165 to 318 matches the Rfam family "5.8S ribosomal RNA". Lineage: Eukaryota; Fungi; Ascomycota; Eurotiomycetes; Eurotiales; Aspergillaceae. The record is from RNAcentral.
GGUGAACCUGCGGAAGGAUCAUUACCGAGUGCGGGCCCCUCGGGGCCCAACCUCCCCCCCGUGUUGCCCGAACCUAUGUUGCCUCGGCGGGCCCCGCGCCCGCCGACGGCCCCCCUGAACGCUGUCUGAAGUUGCAGUCUGAGACCUAUAACGAAAUUAGUUAAAACUUUCAACAACGGAUCUCUUGGUUCCGGCAUCGAUGAAGAACGCAGCGAAAUGCGAUAACUAAUGUGAAUUGCAGAAUUCAGUGAAUCAUCGAGUCUUUGAACGCACAUUGCGCCCUCUGGUAUUCCGGAGGGCAUGCCUGUCCGAGCGUCAUUGCUGCCCUCAAGCCCGGCUUGUGUGUUGGGCCCCGUCCCCCCCGCCGGGGGGACGGGCCCGAAAGGCAGCGGCGGCACCGCGUCCGGUCCUCGAGCGUAUGGGGCUUCGUCACCCGCUCUAGUAGGCCCGGCCGGCGCCAGCCGACCCCCAACCUUUAAUUAUCUCAGGUUGACCUCGGAUCAGGUAGGGAUACCCGCUGAACUUAAGCAUAUCAAUAAGACGGAGGAA